CAUCAGAAAGUAUUUCUUCAGUCUUUAUGCUCAUGUUGAUAAUUAUGAAUCAAUGCAUACCAUGCAACUGUGUUCACAAUCCCACCAAUAAGCAGGCAUAAUGGUCAAAUGGAGCUUGCAAAAUAUGACAAAACCACCAUAGAUUCAAGAUACAAAAUAGAGCAGUAAAGUGACACCAGAUUAAAAUAUUACAUACAUUAGGUUGACAAUUUUGCAUUGAAGAGCUGAUACA
Molecule: long non-coding RNA, 232 nt
Filed under: Elaeis guineensis (African oil palm)
Lineage: Eukaryota; Viridiplantae; Streptophyta; Magnoliopsida; Arecales; Arecaceae
Description: long non-coding RNA (EGUI_LNC076413)
Source: RNAcentral